This 439-nucleotide ribosomal RNA is filed under the name uncultured bacterium. RNAcentral's name for it is "bacterial SSU rRNA". It matches the Rfam family "Bacterial small subunit ribosomal RNA", at positions 958 to 1398 of the family's 1533-position model. The record is from RNAcentral.
AACGCGAAGAACCUUACCUGGGUUUGACAUGCAAGGAAAUCUCAUAGAGAUAUGGGGUCCGUAAGGGCUUUGCACAGGUGGUGCAUGGCUGUCGUCAGCUCGUGUCGUGAGAUGUUGGGUUAAGUCCCGCAACGAGCGCAACCCUCGUUCUAUGUUGCCAGCGAGUAAUGUCGGGAACUCAUAGGAGACUGCCGGGGUCAACUCGGAGGAAGGUGGGGAUGACGUCAAGUCAUCAUGCCCCUUAUAUCCAGGGCUGCACACAUGCUACAAUGGCCGGUACAAAGGGCUGCGAUACCGCAAGGUGGAGCGAAUCCCAUAAAGCCGGUCUCAGUUCGGAUUGGGGUCUGCAACUCGACCCCAUGAAGUCGGAGUUGCUAGUAAUCGCAGAUCAGCAACGCUGCGGUGAAUACGUUCCCGGGCCUUGUACACACCGAGUAUA